GACGAACGCUGGCGGCGUGCUUAACACAUGCAAGUCGAACGGAAAGGCCCUGCUUUUUUGGGGUUCUCGAGUGGCGAACGGGUGAGUAACACGUGAGUAUCCUGCCCUUGACUUUGGGAUAACUUCAGGAAACUGGGGCUAAUACCGGAUAGGAGCUCCUGCUGCAUGGUGGGCGUUGGAAAGUUUCGGCGGUUGGGGAUGGACUCGCGGCUUAUCAGCUUGUUGGUGGGGUAGUGGCUUACCAAGGCUUUGACGGGUAGCCGGCCUGAGAGGGUGACCGGCCACAUUGGGACUGAGGUACGGCCCAGACUCCUACGGGAGGCAGCAGUGGGAAAUAUUGCACAAUGGGCGGAAGCCUGAUGCAGCAACGCCGCGUGCGGGAUGACGGCCUUCGGGUUGUGAACCGCUUUCGCCUGUGACGAAGCGUGAGUGACGGUAAUGGGUAAAGAAGCACCGGCUAACUACGUG
RNAcentral lists this ribosomal RNA (468 nucleotides) under uncultured bacterium. RNAcentral's name for it is "partial 16S ribosomal RNA". It matches the Rfam family "Bacterial small subunit ribosomal RNA", at positions 28 to 507 of the family's 1533-position model. The record is from RNAcentral.